AGUGAACGCUGGCGGUAGGCCUAACACAUGCCAGUCGAACGGCAGCACAGUAAGAGCUUGCUCUUACGGGUGGCGAGUGGCGGACGGGUGAGGAAUACAUCGUACUCUACUUUUUCGUGGGGGAUAACGUAGGGAAACUUACGCUAAUACCGCAUACGACCUACGGGUGAAAGCAGUGGAUCUUCUGACCUUGCGCGAUUGAAUUAGCCGAUGUCGGAUUAGCUAGUUGGCGGGGUAAAGGCCCACCAAGGCGCCGAUCCGUAGCUGGUCUGAGAGGAUGAUCAGCCACACUGGAACUGAGACACGGUCCAGACGCCUACGGGAGGCAGCAGUGGGGAAUAUUGGACAAUGGGCGCAAGCCUGAUCCAGCCAUACCGCGUGGGUGAAGAAGGCCUUCGGGUUGUAAAGCCCUUUUGUUGGGAAAGAAAAGCAGCAGGUUAAUACCCCGCUGUUCUGACGGUACCCAAAGAAUAAGCACCGGCUAACUUCGUG
RNAcentral lists this ribosomal RNA (492 nucleotides) under uncultured bacterium. RNAcentral's name for it is "partial 16S ribosomal RNA". It matches the Rfam family "Bacterial small subunit ribosomal RNA", at positions 29 to 507 of the family's 1533-position model. The record is from RNAcentral.